RNAcentral lists this ribosomal RNA (233 nucleotides) under uncultured bacterium. RNAcentral describes it as "partial 16S ribosomal RNA". It matches the Rfam family "Bacterial small subunit ribosomal RNA", at positions 103 to 334 of the family's 1533-position model. The record is from RNAcentral.
CGGGUGAGUAACGCGUGAGGAACCUGCCUCAAAGAGGGGGACAACAGUUGGAAACGGCUGCUAAUACCGCAUAAGCCCACGGCUCGGCAUCGAGCAGAGGGAAAAGGAGCAAUCCGCUUUGAGAUGGCCUCGCGUCCGAUUAGCUAGUUGGUGAGGUAAUGGCCCACCAGGGCAACGAUCGGUAGCCGGACUGAGAGGUUGAACGGCCACAUUGGGACUGAGACACGGCCCAG